GCAUACUGUCACUGCAGUGCUAUCCUCAUUGCAUGGCCAAAGCUGGCUAAAGGCCAUCCCACAGCCUGUUGGAAGGGGAAGAGAUCAGGAUACGAAACAAGCAAUUUUGUAUAAGAAAUACCCAGGCAAUGGCAUGCCUGAUUUCUGCUCACUUUUCAUCUUAAAAACUUAGUCACAUGAUCCUACUUGGUUGCAAGAGAAGCUGGGAAAUGUCAUCUUUAGCUGGCCUCCUGUAAGCCUUAUAAGAACUGGGUAAAGGAGCAGGAAGAGGAGAAAUACUGGAGAAUGAUGAGUUUUUAUUGCAUAGGUCAAGGUAAUGGUUAAAAGUGACAGAAAAAAAUGAGCAAACAUGUUUCCUUUGGAAGUUCUCUGCGCAAGGAGCAAAGACCUACUGCCUCCUCCUUCAGACAGAAGUGGAAUUAUUAUUACACUGAGUAAUUUCAUUCAGGUGAGCAACAUGUUUAGUUUUAUAAAAAUCUCUUUUGAUAUGUGGAAAAUGAAUGAGAGGAAGAAAGGGAGUUGGCAAAAAGUUAGAAAAGAUUGCAACAGCUGUGGAGAGGAGUCGUGGCUUAGACUUGGGUAGUAUCAAAUGUAGAAUCUGGAUGAAUUUCAGAGAAUUCUUUUAAUGGUAGCGUAGAAAGAACUUGGUUAUUGAUGAGGUGUUAGGGUGAGAGAAUAGAGAAUAGCAUACUCGUGAUUGAUAUUCAGAUGUUUUGGGCAGUGCAUUGAUCUCUAGAAUAUAAAUUCCAAGAAGGCAAGGAUUUUCAUCUGUUUUGUUCACUGAUGUAUCACAAGUUCCUAGAAUAAUACCUAGCAAAUAGUAUGUGAUCUAUAAAUAUUAAUGAAUAACAGUGAAUGAGGAACAGACUGGAGCUAUAGGGGACACAUUGGAUUCAUUUAUCUUGACUUUUGAAAUAAAGUAAGCAUCUAAGCUGAAAUAUAUGGUAAG
Molecule: long non-coding RNA, 949 nt
Filed under: Sus scrofa (pig)
Lineage: Eukaryota; Metazoa; Chordata; Mammalia; Artiodactyla; Suidae
Description: lncRNA (ENSSSCG00070017872.1)
Source: RNAcentral